UGGGGAAUAUUGCACAAUGGGCGCAAGCCUGAUGCAGCAACGCCGCGUGAACGAUGAAGGUCUUCGGAUCGUAAAGUUCUGUUGCAGGGGAAGAUAAUGACGGUACCCUGUGAGGAAGCCCCGGCUAACUACGUGCCAGCAGCCGCGGUAAUACGUAGGGGGCUAGCGUUAUCCGGAUUUACUGGGCGUAAAGGGUGCGUAGGUGGUCUUUCAAGUCGGUGGUUAAAGGCUACGGCUCAACCGUAGUUAGCCUCCGAAACUGGAAGACUUGAGUGCAGGAGAUGAAAGUGGAAUUCCCAGUGUAGCGGUGAAAUGCGUAGAUAUUGGGAGGAACACCAGUAGCGAAGGCGGCUUUCUGGACUGCAACUGACACUGAGGCACGAAAGCGUGGGUAGCAAACAGG
This 403-nucleotide ribosomal RNA is filed under the name Verrucomicrobiota bacterium. Its description in RNAcentral is "Verrucomicrobia bacterium partial 16S ribosomal RNA". It matches the Rfam family "Bacterial small subunit ribosomal RNA", at positions 355 to 776 of the family's 1533-position model. The record is from RNAcentral. Lineage: Bacteria; Pseudomonadati; Verrucomicrobiota.